CGUACGGGAGGCAGCAGUGGGGAAUAUUGCACAAUGGGCGGAAGCGUGAUGCAGCAACCCCGCGUGCGGGAUGACGGCCUUCGGGUUGUAAACCGCUUUCACCCAUGACGAAGUUUUUUUGACGGUAGUGGGAGAAGAAGCACCGGCUAACUACGUGCCAGCAGCCGCGGUGAUACGUAGGGUGCGAGCGUUGUCCGGAUUUAUUGGGCGUAAAGAGCUYGUAGGCGGUUGGUUGMGUCAGGAGUGAAAACUCGGGGCUUAACUCCGAGCUUGCUUUUGAUACGGGAUGACUUGAGGGAAGUAGGGGAGAAUGGAAUUCCUGGUGAAGCGGUGGAAUGCGUAGAUAUCAGGAGGAACACCGGUGGCGAAGGCGGUUYUCUGGACUUUUCCUGACGCUGAGAAGSGAAAGCGUGGGGAGCAAACAGGCUUAGAUUCCCUGGUAGUUCCCGCUGUAAACGGUGGGUACUAGGUGUGGGGGACAUUCCACGUUCUCCGUGCCGUAGCUAACGCCUUAAUUUCCCGCCC
Molecule: ribosomal RNA, 525 nt
Filed under: uncultured bacterium
Lineage: Bacteria
Description: bacterial SSU rRNA
Rfam family: Bacterial small subunit ribosomal RNA
Source: RNAcentral